Molecule: unclassified non-coding RNA, 745 nt
Filed under: Hevea brasiliensis (rubber tree)
Lineage: Eukaryota; Viridiplantae; Streptophyta; Magnoliopsida; Malpighiales; Euphorbiaceae
Source: RNAcentral
AGCAAGUUGGAAAACUUGGGACAGGUAAUUCCAUUUUCUCUUUGUAAAUUAGAGAUGUAAUCUUUCACAAUAUUUAGAGAAAAGGUGUAAGGUCUAGGUAUGGCUGUUUUGUUUAAUAGUUAUGUAGUGGCUGAAAGUGAAAACAAUAGUGUCAUUUCUGCCAGUAAUAUAGUUAGGGUUUUUAGGCUUGUUUUGGAGGCUAUUUGAUGGCAGUAAACGAGGGAUUGUAACUCUCAAAUGAAAUAUGUACCAUGUAGAAAUGUAGUGAUUGGGGUGUGAUUUGGGAGUACAAGAAAAUUAGCUAAGGGAUUCAUUACCCGUAUCAUGUCCUAAUAGGAUUUGAGAAAUUGAUAAGCUAACUUCGAUUUAAAGAAAAUAAACUUAAAAAACUGAUAGAUUGCUGAAAUACUUUUACAUUGCUUUACUUACAGAAAAUGUAGUUCAGCUCUAUGAAAACAUGCAUAACUCAUAAAAUAAGACUUGAAAAUAAAUACUGCUGAAAUACCUUUAAUGCGCACACACACACACACACAUGCAUGGUGGGUGCACGUGUUUCUGCGCUUAGUGUUUACAUACAUGUAGAAAGGGGAAAGAGAAGGAAAAACUUUGUAUCCAUGAAUGCGCAACAGCAAACUUUAGGCAUAUCUUAUUUUAGAGGUACUUUGCAUUUGGGGAUUACUGCCAAAUUAGAAGGGUAAUGGACUCUACUUGUUACCGAAUUAGAUGCUUGAUGGCCAUGAGAAUA